UUCAUUAAAUACCAAUAAUUUGUAUAUAUUAUCGCAUAGGUUCACUUUGGAUCGUUGGAUCACAUCCAAAUUCACUUUGGACCAUCACCGUGGAGUCAUGAUUUGUUUCCUUUUUUUUUUUUUUUUUUUUUUAUCUCUACUAAAUUUUUAAAAAAUCAAAAGGCCACCCAUCCGAAAAGCCCUUUGCUGAAGACCCGCUUCUCUCACUCGGGCAUCAAAAAGCCCUUGGCUGAAGCUGCCCUCCGGACGAGAGAAUCGGCCCCAAUUUCCUCUUUCACUCUCAAUCCUCGCAGCCAUGUUUCGGUGAUUUUUUCGUCGAUUUUAACAGAAGUUUGGCGAAAUUUCUCCCGUCGACAUUUCGCCCCCCUCUUUCGUAUCGCCGGCCACCGAAACCCGAAAUUCCGGCGAAAUUUCCGCGAAAAAAAUGGAAACUUUCAUCCUUGCGCUCGAGAUGAUAUGAGUGAAACAGAUAGUAAAACAGGACCUGGCGGCUGCUUGUGAUGGUGAUGGUGAUGUAUGAGCAGAACCAUAUGCUGAGGCCAAGGACUAAGGCCAAGAGAGUAUGCAAGUUGUUGAAUGCAUGGUCAAUUAUCGAGUAAAAAGUCACUCUCAUGAUGAUCCCAUAUGCAUUUUCUAGGAGCUAUCUGCUGUGACC
Molecule: long non-coding RNA, 655 nt
Organism: Vitis riparia (riverbank grape)
Lineage: Eukaryota; Viridiplantae; Streptophyta; Magnoliopsida; Vitales; Vitaceae
Exons: 3
Source: RefSeq, a predicted model, not a curated record